This 495-nucleotide ribosomal RNA is filed under the name uncultured bacterium. RNAcentral's name for it is "partial 16S ribosomal RNA". It matches the Rfam family "Bacterial small subunit ribosomal RNA", at positions 28 to 507 of the family's 1533-position model. The record is from RNAcentral.
GACGAACGCUGGCGGCGUGCCUAAUACAUGCAAGUCGAACGCUGAAGGAGGAGCUUGCUCUUCUGGAUGAGUUGCGAACGGGUGAGUAACGCGUAGGUAACCUGCCUGGUAGCGGGGGAUAACUAUUGGAAACGAUAGCUAAUACCGCAUAACAGUAGAUGUUGCAUGACAUUUACUUGAAAGGUGCAAUUGCAUCACUACCAGAUGGACCUGCGUUGUAUUAGCGAGUUGGGGGGGUAACGGCGCACCAAGGCGACGAUACAUAGCCGACCUGAGAGGGUGAUCGGCCACACUGAGACGGAGACACGGCCCAGACUCCUACGGGAGGCAGCAGUAGGGAAUCUUCGGGAAUGGACGGAAGUCUGACCGAGCAACGCCGCGUGAGUGAAGAAGGGUUUCGGAUCGUAAAGCUCUGUUGUAAGAGAAGAACGAGUGUGAGAGUGGAAAGUUCACACUGUGACGGUAUCUUACCAGAAAGGGACGGCUAACUACGUG